RNAcentral lists this ribosomal RNA (492 nucleotides) under uncultured bacterium. Its description in RNAcentral is "partial 16S ribosomal RNA". It matches the Rfam family "Bacterial small subunit ribosomal RNA", at positions 29 to 507 of the family's 1533-position model. The record is from RNAcentral.
AGUGAACGCUGGCGGUAGGCCUAACACAUGCAAGUCGAACGGCAGCACAGUAAGAGCUUGCUCUUACGGGUUGCGAGUGGCGGACGGGUGAGGAAUACAUCGGAAUCUACUUUUUCGUGGGGGAUAACGUAGGGAAACUUACGCUAAUACCGCAUACGACCUACGGGUGAAAGCAGGGGAUCUUCGGACCUUGCGCGAUUGAAUGAGCCGAUGUCGGAUUAGCUAGUUGGCGGGGUAAAGGCCCACCAAGGCGACGAUCCGUAGCUGGUCUGAGAGGAUGAUAAGCCACACUGGAACUGAGACACGGUCAAGACGCCUAAGGGAGGCAGCAGUGGGGAAUAGUGGACAAAGGGCGCAAGCAUGAUCCAGCCAUACCGCGUGGGUGAAGAAGGCCUUCGGGUUGUAAAGCCCGUUUGUUGGGAAAGAAAUCCAGCCGGCUAAUACCUGGUUGGGAUGACGGUACCCAAAGAAUAAGCACCGGCUAACUUCGUG